RNAcentral lists this ribosomal RNA (400 nucleotides) under Escherichia coli. Its description in RNAcentral is "bacterial SSU rRNA". It matches the Rfam family "Bacterial small subunit ribosomal RNA", at positions 1 to 397 of the family's 1533-position model. The record is from RNAcentral. Lineage: Bacteria; Pseudomonadati; Pseudomonadota; Gammaproteobacteria; Enterobacterales; Enterobacteriaceae.
AAAUUGAAGAGUUUGAUCAUGGCUCAGAUUGAACGCUGGCGGCAGGCCUAACACAUGCAAGUCGAACGGUAACAGGAAACAGCUUGCUGUUUCGCUGACGAGUGGCGGACGGGUGAGUAAUGUCUGGGAAACUGCCUGAUGGAGGGGGAUAACUACUGGAAACGGUAGCUAAUACCGCAUAACGUCGCAAGACCAAAGAGGGGGACCUUCGGGCCUCUUGCCAUCGGAUGUGCCCAGAUGGGAUUAGCUAGUAGGUGGGGUAAAGGCUCACCUAGGCGACGAUCCCUAGCUGGUCUGAGAGGAUGACCAGCCACACUGGAACUGAGACACGGUCCAGACUCCUACGGGAGGCAGCAGUGGGGAAUAUUGCACAAUGGGCGCAAGCCUGAUGCAGCCAUGC